Molecule: long non-coding RNA, 832 nt
Filed under: Cucumis sativus (cucumber)
Lineage: Eukaryota; Viridiplantae; Streptophyta; Magnoliopsida; Cucurbitales; Cucurbitaceae
Description: long non-coding RNA (CSAT_LNC001219)
Source: RNAcentral
ACGAAAGCGCUUGGAGAUUUUAUAAUUGUUAUUAAGAUGGAUGCAUACUAUUAGUACUCGAACAUAAUCUCCACCUGAGACGGUUCGAGCUGCUCUUGAUGCUGCUGCUGCUCAUUUACAGGUGCAUGGAUCGCAGGUGCAGUUGUCACCGCACUUGCAGCCGUUCUCGGCUCCCAUCUCUGCUACCUCGUAGGACCUGGUAUCGAAAACGCCGAUAUUGUUAAAUAAAAUCAUCACUAAAUACCGAAACCUCUCUUGAAAAAUUAGGCUUGAUUGCAGAAACUUACAUCUUCUGAGGAGCGAAACCGACUACGAAAGUCUCGAUCGUAGCAGAGGUCUCUGAGAAGCUCAAGUCAGGGAAACUCUUGCAUCUGCAUGACAAAAUAUCAAAACAUCAGAAUCAUCGCGAUUAUCCUCGGGUGAAAUGAACACCGUAGUCAUUUUCAGAAACUUCACAAGAAAAUCCGCCUUGAUCGUACGAAUGAAGAUAAUCGGCAAGUGAUCGGAUCGCCGUCGAACGAGGGACAAAGAUAUGUAGAAGAUUAAGAAAUCGAAAGCGAUGUAAAAGAAAACAGAAGAUCAGAUUCUCGAGAGAUCAUGCUCUCCACAAAAUCAUACGCGAACUAAAAGCAAUUUCACUCGAUCAAACUCAAAAGAGUUAAUUGGCGAGAGGUUACUCACCCUCCACAGCCAUUUCCGCACUUGCAGCCAGAGCCGCAUCCACAGUUUCCGCCACAGCAAGACAUUUUGGACGAUGAACAACAAAGAACAGAGAGAAUUGGAAGUUUGUUAGGUAAUCAAAGUAUAACUUAUCGCGAUUGAACGAGCUUGC